Manis pentadactyla (Chinese pangolin) is the source of this 764-nucleotide long non-coding RNA. RefSeq lists it as uncharacterized. The transcript is spliced from 4 exons. The record is from RefSeq and is a predicted model, not a curated record. NCBI's taxonomy places the organism in Eukaryota, Metazoa, Chordata, Mammalia, Pholidota, Manidae.
UCUUCAGCCCUUGCAUUCAGGGGUGUCUCUACACGUUCGAGGUGACAUGCAAAGAUAAAGAAACUGUACAACCUCUGGGAAUGAAUUUAUAUCUGUGAUCGUUUGAGUACAUGAUUCAUCCCUUGUAUGAGUGGCCAAAACUGAUCCUGCAGAAGACAAAAGGACAAAAUACUUCUUUGUAAUUCAGUGGAUGGAAAUGGGGAGCAAGAGAGAACAAAGGAUGGAUGAAAUGAGAGACGUGAUGUGGUGGAUGAUGCCACGGGGAACUCUGGAGUCAGGCAAACUUUAUUCGAAUUGUUGUUCUAUUAUGUCCUGUGUUUGAACUUGGGCAAGUUACAGCUUCUCUGAGGUUCAAAAUCCUCAUCUGUAAAAUGGGGACAAUAAUAUGUAUACUAGGGCAAUGCUUUGAGGAUUUAAUGAGAUAAUGUAUUUAAAGCACCUGGCAGAUAGGUAGAUAACUCCGUUCUCUUUUUCUUUUCCCAUGGGAAACUACAAACCAGGCAUGGAGAAGAUGAUAGCUCCUUUGUAAAAGUAAUUCUGGCUGGAAGAAAAGUUGGGAGAGAUCGUGGCAAUCGAGGUAUUAACCACACUGAAUAUCUGCUGAGCCCAGAACAGACGCCUAAGAGGGAAAGUACCAUAUGGCCACGGAAAAAAUUUGGUUGGAAACUCACCAUCAAAUAUGUCGACCAUUCUGAAGAAAGCCAGAGAUAACGAUGACUUUCCGCUGCCAGUGCGGCCACAUAUGCCCACCUGAAAAAGCGACU